AACCAAGGUGGGAUUAGCUAGUUGGUGAGGUAAGGGCUCACCAAGGCGACGAUCCCUAGCUGGUCUGAGAGGAUGAUCAGCCACACUGGAACUGAGACACGGUCCAGACUCCUACGGGAGGCAGCAGUGGGGAAUAUUGCACAAUGGGCGCAAGCCUGAUGCAGCCAUGCCGCGUGUGUGAAGAAGGCCUUCGGGUUGUAAAGCACUUUCAGUCGUGAGGAAGGUAGUGUAGUUAAUAGCUGCAUUAUUUGACGUUAGCGACAGAAGAAGCACCGGCUAACUCCGUGCCAGCAGCCGCGGUAAUACGGAGGGUGCGAGCGUUAAUCGGAAUUACUGGGCGUAAAGCGCAUGCAGGUGGUUUGUUAAGUCAGAUGUGAAAGCCCGGGGCUCAACCUCGGAAUUGCAUUUGAAACUGGCAGACUAGAGUACUGUAGAGGGGGGUAGAAUUUCAGGUGUAGCGGUGAAAUGCGUAGAGAUCUGAAGGAAUACCGGUGGCGAAGGCGGCCCCCUGGACAGAUACUGACACUCAGAUGCGAAAGCGUGGGGAGCAAACAGGAUUAGAUACCCUGGUAGUCCACGCCGUAAACGAUGUCUACUUGGAGGUUGUGGCCUUGAGCCGUGGCUUUCGGAGCUAACGCGUUAAGUAGACCGCCUGGGGAGUACGGUCGCAAGAUUAAAACUCAAAUGAAUUGACGGGGGCCCGCACAAGCGGUGGAGCAUGUGGUUUAAUUCGAUGCAACGCGAAGAACCUUACCUACUCUUGACAUCCAGAGAACUUUCCAGAGAUGGAUUGGUGCCUUCGGGAACUCUGA
Molecule: ribosomal RNA, 812 nt
Filed under: Vibrio sp.
Lineage: Bacteria; Pseudomonadati; Pseudomonadota; Gammaproteobacteria; Vibrionales; Vibrionaceae
Description: bacterial SSU rRNA
Rfam family: Bacterial small subunit ribosomal RNA
Source: RNAcentral